UACGUAGGGUGCAAGCGUUGUCCGGAAUUAUUGGGCGUAAAGAGCUCGUAAGCGGUUUGUCGCGUCUGCUGUGAAAACUCGGGGCUUAACCCCGGGCCUGCAGUGGGUACGGGCAGACUAGAGUGUGGUAGGGGAGACUGGAAUUCCUGGUGUAGCGGUGGAAUGCGCAGAUAUCAGGAGGAACACCGAUGGCGAAGGCAGGUCUCUGGGCCAUUACUGACACUGAGAAGCGAAAGCAUGGGGAGCGAACAGG
RNAcentral lists this ribosomal RNA (253 nucleotides) under uncultured bacterium. RNAcentral describes it as "partial 16S ribosomal RNA". It matches the Rfam family "Bacterial small subunit ribosomal RNA", at positions 524 to 776 of the family's 1533-position model. The record is from RNAcentral.